Molecule: ribosomal RNA, 427 nt
Filed under: uncultured bacterium
Lineage: Bacteria
Description: bacterial SSU rRNA
Rfam family: Bacterial small subunit ribosomal RNA
Source: RNAcentral
UGGGGAAUUUUGGACAAUGGGCGCAAGCCUGAUCCAGCCAUGCCGCGUGUGGUAAGAAGGCCUUCGGGUUGUAAACCGCUUUUGUCAGGGAAGAAACGAGUUUCUCUAAUACAGAGACUUAAUGACGGUACCUGAAGAAUAAGCACCGGCUAACUACGUGCCAGCAGCCGCGGUAAUACGUAGGGUGCAAGCGUUAAUCGGACUUACUGGUCGUAAAGCGUGCGCAGGCGGUUAUGCAAGACAGAGGUGAAAUCCCCGGGCUCAACCUGGGAACUGCCUUUGUGACUGCAUAGCUAGAGUAUGGGAGAGGGGAAUGGAGUUCCGCGUGUAGCAGUGAAAUGCGUAGAGAUGCGGAGGAACACAGAGGGCGAAGGCAAGCCCCUGGGCCUGGACUGACGCUCAUGGACGAAAAGGUGGGGAGCAAACA